Molecule: transfer RNA, 84 nt
Filed under: archaeon
Lineage: Archaea
Also listed under: 1 other name
Description: tRNA-Leu
Rfam family: tRNA
About the family: Transfer RNA (tRNA) molecules are approximately 80 nucleotides in length.
Source: RNAcentral
GCGCGCAUAGCCAAGCGGUCAAAGGCGUAAGGCUUAAGACCUUAUCUCGUAGGAGUUUCAAGGGUUCGAAUCCCUUUGCGUGCA